CCCUUAGAUGUUCUGGGCUGCAUGCGCGCUACACUGAAGCUAUCAACACGUUUUCCCUCCCUGAGAAGGGCGGGUAACCUUUUGAAUCAGCUUCGUGGUAGGGAUCGGGGCUUGCAAUUGUUCCCCGUGAACCAGGAAUUCCUAGUAGACGCGAGUCAUAGGCUCGCAUCGAUUAAGUCCCUGCCCUUUGUACACACCGCCCGUCGCUACUACCGAUUGAACGUUUUAGUGAGGCAUUUGGACCGACGCAUCUCAGUUUAACCGCUGGUUUGUGUUGGAAAGACUUCCAAACUUGAGCGUUUAGAGGAAGUAAAAGUCGUAACA
RNAcentral lists this ribosomal RNA (324 nucleotides) under uncultured eukaryote. RNAcentral's name for it is "partial 18S ribosomal RNA". It matches the Rfam family "Eukaryotic small subunit ribosomal RNA", at positions 1470 to 1796 of the family's 1831-position model. The record is from RNAcentral.